CAGCGUGUCUGUGAUUCGGAGUGCGUCUCUCUGUCUCUGUCUCUGUCUCACAUCUCCUAGGCAGACCCAGGAGGAUUCCAGCCUCUCUUCUCCACUGCACUAGCUCAGCAGAGCCCUGGUUGCUUGUCCUUCCUGCCUUUCAGCCGUCGCACAGAAAUGGAGUUGGUGCCACCUCAAGUUGGUGUGUGAAUCUGCCUCUGUUGACAGUAGCUGGUAGAGCUCAUGUGGCCUGAAAAACUCCACAGGGGUGAAGAAUUAAAAUUAAUGAGGUAAAGAGGCUGAAGUAAAAGUAGGUUCAGGUAUAGAACUGGAUAAGAUUAAAAGUCAACUAAAAAUUUGGACCAGUUUUGAUAUGUUUGUGAGUGUGUACAUGUGGAGUUAGUGGUUUAUUUGGGGUCAGAUUAUAUCCUCCAAAUAAUAAAGUGAGCGUUGUGAUAAUUUAAUUUAGGCAUUCAAAUAUAAUUAAAUAACAUUAAUUCAAACUA
This is a long non-coding RNA of Galeopterus variegatus (Sunda flying lemur), 485 nucleotides long. RefSeq lists it as uncharacterized. Lineage: Eukaryota; Metazoa; Chordata; Mammalia; Dermoptera; Cynocephalidae. The record is from RefSeq and is a predicted model, not a curated record. The transcript is spliced from 2 exons.